AGGGAAUCUUCGGCAAUGGACGGAAGUCUGACCGAGCAACGCCGCGUGAGUGAAGAAGGUUUUCGGAUCGUAAAGCUCUGUUGUAAGAGAAGAACGAGUGUGAGAGUGGAAAGUUCACACUGUGACGGUAUCUUACCAGAAAGGGACGGCUAACUACGUGCCAGCAGCCGCGGUAAUACGUAGGUCCCGAGCGUUGUCCGGAUUUAUUGGGCGUAAAGCGAGCGCAGGCGGUUAGAUAAGUCUGAAGUUAAAGGCUGUGGCUUAACCAUAGUACGCUUUGGAAACUGUUUAACUUGAGUGCAAGAGGGGAGAGUGGAAUUCCAUGUGUAGCGGUGAAAUGCGUAGAUAUAUGGAGGAACACCGGUGGCGAAAGCGGCUCUCUGGCUUGUAACUGACGCUGAGGCUCGAAAGCGUGGGGAGCAAACAGGAUUAGAUACCCUGGUAGUCCACGCCGUAAACGAUGAGUGCUAGGUGUUAGACCCUUUCCGGGGUUUAGUGCCGCAGC
Molecule: ribosomal RNA, 505 nt
Filed under: uncultured bacterium
Lineage: Bacteria
Description: bacterial SSU rRNA
Rfam family: Bacterial small subunit ribosomal RNA
Source: RNAcentral